Molecule: long non-coding RNA, 307 nt
Organism: Marmota flaviventris (yellow-bellied marmot)
Lineage: Eukaryota; Metazoa; Chordata; Mammalia; Rodentia; Sciuridae
Source: RefSeq, a predicted model, not a curated record
GCGAAACUUUAAGAGGGUACAGAUGAGAAAAGAGCUUGCUAAUGCUGACAGACCGCCAGUGGCGAUAAGGAUGGCGUCCGUGGCAGAACUUGGGGUGGCGUACGUACCAGGCUGCUUCCCUAGGCCAGGUGAUUAUAAGUUACCAAUACAGCACUGACAAAGAAAUGAUUUCUGAAUGUAUGAUGCAGUUGGGAAUCUAAAUGCAAAGCUACUGGAAUGUUCUUGAUUAGAAGGAUCCAUCACAUAAAAUGCUCCACUUCUAGCUAGCUCACCUCAGCUUCUCCAGGCCAACCACCUCCAGCCAGAG